This is a non-coding RNA of Odocoileus virginianus texanus, 1563 nucleotides long. The record is from RefSeq and is a predicted model, not a curated record. Lineage: Eukaryota; Metazoa; Chordata; Mammalia; Artiodactyla; Cervidae.
ACGUGACUGAGCAGCUAACACACACCAGUGCCAAGGAAGCUGAAGGCAGGGUCAGGACCCCGUGCUCGCUCCCUUUGACGAGACAAGUCCAAAGUCCACUCCUCCAGGCCUUGAUUUCCCCAGCUGUGAAGAGGCAAGACAGGAUUACAGGGGCCCUGCCAUGGCACAGAACACGAACAGGAAAUGCUCAUUUCACUCCAUGCCCAACAAAGCCCAGCUCCUUGCCCCCGGAGGGCAUGAGCCGAACGUGGGUCCACUGAUCCUGCGUUUCCUCUGGCUUCAGCCUGACGCCGAUACAAGCAAAGGCAGCCCGUCUGUCCACGGCCAGAUCCGCAGUGCUCAGCCAACCCUUGGCACGUAGCUGGCUCUGAAGAAAUGUCUGUUGAUGAAUGAAUCUUGGCUCCACACACAUCUUUGAUACUCUAGGUUCUGGCAUCCAAAUAAAUGUUUCAUUGAAAAAAAUUCUGCAUUUAUUUGGUGCUAAGGUGGCUCCCAACACAUGGCCAGGGUCACUGCUGUUGCUGUUCACUUCAGAGCCGCCCUGAACCGGCUGCUGCCAAUGACUUUGGUGACCAGGCGAGGGGGUGGUUGCCUUUUAGGGUCCAGGGUAAUCAUCUUUGCAACAUCCUCAGCUUGUGGGUAUAUGAGAAUGCAUUUCAAUCUUACUAGCUGACGUCUGUGCUUGAACUUAAAUUUCUAUUAAUAGAAACACUGCGGUUUUUACAUUUACUCAUCAUUCAACAUAUAUCCCAGGGAUGGGGGAGCCUGGUGGGCUGCCCUCUAUGGGGUAGCACAGAGUCAGACACGACUGAAGUGACUUAGCAGCAGCAGCAACAUAUAUUGACUAAGCACAUGCUCUGGGCUCAUGUGGGGUGAGACCAUGGGAUCCAGAUGUGGCCAUGAGAAAUCUGGCCACUCUGGGUCCCGGGGGCCACCGUCAGUGGAACUAGCACACGAUUAAUUACAGGGUCCAUGAAUGCUCUGAGGAGAAGUGUAGGGGGCUACAGGGACAGGGCUGUCUUGAUCUGGAGGCUGGGAAAGCUACCCAGAGAGGAAGCUGGGAAGCCAACUCUGAAGAGUGAGUAGGCGUCAGCAAGUGAAAAGGAAGGGGACAUUUUCCAGACAGAACAACCUGGGCAAAGGCCAGAUGGCCAGAGAGGCCAUUAAACCCUGAGUGCUCACUGCAGCCGAGUUCCCGGGGAGGCUGGACCAGAGUACACAGAGGCCAUCUGGGGGCCAGCAAAAGGGAGGCAUGGCAGGUCAAGCAGAACAAGCAGGAGGCCAGAGGUGACUUUGAGAGGUCCCUCGCUGCUGCUGGAAGUCAGUAAGCUAGGAUUUCACAAACCCGAAGUCUGGAGCCAAUCUCGCUGAUAUGGCCAGGGAGGCAGGUUUUUUUAUUGCUCUCUGUCAUCUCCUCCUGCUUGUCCAGACCACUGGCUCUCAGAGGCAGCAGCCGGUCGGUGUCUAACUCAUUUCUGAGGGCCCAGCAGCCAUCACAGGGCCAGACAUACGGCAGGAGGUAAACAGAAGCCUCCUGAGUGAGGGCGCACACCGACCUGGCGC